Camellia sinensis is the source of this 582-nucleotide non-coding RNA. Lineage: Eukaryota; Viridiplantae; Streptophyta; Magnoliopsida; Ericales; Theaceae. The record is from RefSeq and is a predicted model, not a curated record.
UGGAUAGGGUUAGAUAUAUUAUUUUUGGACCACUAUUUUGGUAAUUACUUUUUCAAACUACUCUAGCUCAUGCUUUUUGUGAAGUUAGCAGGCCAGGUGAACUAAAAGAAAAAUUUUGUUGUUUUGUGCUGACUGAUUCAGGUGGUCAGAUGUUGCUUGGAGCAUGCAGCUUCGGUUGCUAAAACUUUCUUGAUGUCAGAUUGUGUGGUUGUUGAGAUCAAAGAGCCUGAGCCAAUGGCUGCUGCCGGGAACCCUAUGGACAAUUCAGGAUACGGUUACUAAACUAUUGUAGAAGGUGUGCUUGUGGGGGACAAAGGUAAAAGAACCAAGCCAACUUCAAUUUGGGUGGGUAACAAAAUGCAAAGAAGGGGGGAGUUCUUUGUUUUUUGUAAUUUUAGUAUGCUUGGAAGAAUCUGGUGAGGUUAGCUUGUCCGUGUACCGGCUUGUAGCAGCUUGCAAUUUGGAUGUACAAGUUGAAAUCUGAGUGCAGAAGAAUAAUAUUUUUCACCUCUGGUCUUGGUUAUGAUUUCUCAGAUUUAUUUUCUUGACUAUUUUUUUUAAUUAUUGAUGGUUGUGGGGAAA